RNAcentral lists this ribosomal RNA (336 nucleotides) under Triticum aestivum (bread wheat). RNAcentral describes it as "partial small subunit ribosomal RNA". Lineage: Eukaryota; Viridiplantae; Streptophyta; Magnoliopsida; Poales; Poaceae. The record is from RNAcentral.
AUGCUGACGAUAUCUUCAAAAACAUUGCAACAGCAGCGAGGCUUCACAGCAACAUAUGAUGGUAGCAGUUCAGAGGCAACACCGCCGGAGAGCAGUCUGAGCAUGGAUAUUAUAGUUCUUGAGGCUCUACUAGGGGCAGAAAGAGAUGGUGUGGCUGCCAUGAAUGAGGUAAUCUCGAUCUUGAAGCUAGAAAUUAUGCAAUUAGCUGCACGCAUUAUGCAAGCAACCCAAGAAUUGGAGGAAGUAAGAAUGUUGCAUUUGAAGACGGAGGAGGUCCUGCUGCUUCUGCUAUCUGAAGCCCAGGGUAAUCCCAGUUCUUCUUUAGACAGCGGUUGA